Molecule: non-coding RNA, 29 nt
Filed under: Rattus norvegicus (Norway rat)
Lineage: Eukaryota; Metazoa; Chordata; Mammalia; Rodentia; Muridae
Source: RNAcentral
UCUCACAGAGGAAACUAGAAAUGACAGGU